UUUAGUUUAGCGCAGGAUGUCUGUGUUUGUGCGUGAUUAUGUUUCUUGUCCGUUUUGUGUGCUUGAGGAACGUGUGCUGUUUUUCCUCUUCCUGUGGUUGGUUUCGUUGUGUUCACCACCGCAGAAGUAUUUAAGUGCUGCGUCCCUAUUUUUGGCGACCAUAUCUACUUUCUGGAAUAAAGAAGUGUGGUCAAGAAUUCUCUGUCUCCUGCGCCUGACUCUACCUCUCCUGCUUUCUUGAGCCAGCCCGUGACAGGUACAUGGUGUUUGUAUUGGUAAGGUCUACAGUAUAUGGACUGGUACAUGGUGUGUAUAUUGGUAAGAUCUACAGUAUAUGGACUGGUACAUGGUGUUUGUAUUGGUAAGGCCUACAGUAUAUGGACUGGUAAUGAUGUUUGUAUUGGUACGGUCUACAGCAUAUGGACUGGUACAUGAUGUGUAUAUUGGUAAGGUCUACAGUAUAUGGACUGGUACAUGGUGUAUGUAUUGGUAAGGCCUACAGUAUAUGGACUGGUACAUGGUGUGUAUAUUGGUUAUGUCUACAGCGUAUGGACUGGUACAUCGUUUGUAUAUUGGUAAGGCCUACAGUAUAUGGACUGGUACAUGGUGUGUAUAUUGGCAAGGUCUACAGUAUAUGGACUGGUACAUGGUGUGUAUAUUGGUUAUGUCUACAGUAUAUGGACUGGUUCAUGGUGUUUGUAUUGGUAAGGCCUACUGUAGAUGGACUGGUACAUGGUGAUUGUAUUGGUAAUGUCUACAGAAUAUGGACUGGAACAUGGUGUUUGUAUUGGUAAGGUCUACAGUAUAUGGACUGGUCCAUGGUGUUUGAAUUGGUAAAUUCUACAGUAUAUGGACUUUUAAAUGGUGUGUAUAUUGGUAAGAUCUACAUUAUAUGGACUGGUACUUGGUGUUUCUAUUGGUAAGGUUUACAGUAUAUGGACUGGUCCAUGGUGUUUAUAUUGGUAAGGUCUACAGUAUAUGGACAGGUACAUGGUGUGUAUAUUGGUAAG
Molecule: long non-coding RNA, 1010 nt
Filed under: Salmo salar (Atlantic salmon)
Lineage: Eukaryota; Metazoa; Chordata; Actinopteri; Salmoniformes; Salmonidae
Description: lncRNA (ENSSSAG00000083755.1)
Source: RNAcentral